UCUUUCCUCGCCCGCCUGCGCCGCCGAGGAGUACUUCAUUGCCAGACCUGAAAAAAUGGGAUGCGACUCACACUCCCGACUAAGCAGCAAAGACGGCGCCGGAUCCGGCGGAAUUUGCAUGGCGUCCAGGCUGCUGAGUGGGCUCCCUCCACACGGGUAAACAAUUUGUAGAUCCUGAAACUGCCUGCUGCGUCCCGACAGAUUGAAGCCGAUCGGGUGGCGUUGGAAGUUCGAACAAUGGUGGCUGAAGAGCGAUGCUCGCCGGGGGGUGAAACUUCGAGAUCCUCGAGCAGCUAGGGUUCUCGGCUAGGUUUCCUCUAUUAGCUCUCUAUCUUCAUCUUUUCUGCAAAAUUUUCUCUACAAUCCUCUCUUCCGCACAACGAUUCUACUGUGUCCGCACUGCAAUUAUGUCUCUCCAGUCUCCAUUUUGUGCAGGGAGUGUUCAUGCUGGUUCCGGUCAACUUUGUCAGCCAAGGCUGGGCUUCCGCCCAACGAUUCUAUGGUGUUCAGUGUAAUUUAUCAUGCCUCUCCGGUAUCCAUUUUGCGCUGGGACUGUUCAUGGCUCCAUGCUGUUUCCAGUCAACUCGUUCAGGCAAUCUUGGAGGCUGGGCUGAUGUAUUGAAUUGGGGAUUUCUUGCGUGACAAUUCCUUAUGGUUGCCGGCCAGGCCAGAUACAACCUUCAAGCUUAUUACAUGACCUCCAUCUGCAUCAUUUACAGAUUGUUUGCUUUGGUAAGGUCUUUGUACUACUUACGGCUAAAUAUCUCUUGGUUUUGUUUUCUACUAUAUAUAGUGCUAUCAUCAACAGUUCAAUGUCUUGUGAACCAAAGCCAAUAGCAGUUAAAGGUUCAUCUGGCAGCCAUCGUUCUUGCCUAGUGCUAGGAACGGUUGCACUCCCUGCUGGGGGUUGAUGGCGCGUCAACCAUUGUGCAACACAGAGUUCAAGUGAGGAGGGGGAGGAGCUACGGCUACGGCCUGAUGUACAAGCACAAGAACCGGCAUAGAUCGGUGUUCAUUCUCCAGACUGGGUCAGCUGAAUGUGUCGAAGAGAACAUUCCAGGUCUGCAUUCAUCAGUCUAAGUACUUCAGCUUUUUAGUUGUGUACUGAUUUUUCUAUGGAUGGCAUACUCCCCGUUGGACAAGCUCUUCCUAGAUGUCAAAAGAUAGGUUGAAAGAAACUGUUUUAUUAUUGCAAUCCACUCGGUUAAUUUUCAGCUGACCAUGCCAAAUUUAGAAAAUUCUCUUGUAGUGAGUUAAUGUCUCUUAGAUACAUCCAUCCUCUAUAAAAUUAAGCUACCCGUUGUUUCUUGCUUUCAGUUGAAACUACUCGCAUUUACUACCAAGUAACAAUACAAUAUCAUUAUCAUGCAGUAUGGGAAAAAUGGAAUGUGUGCGUGAGGUUAAUUCAAUUUCGAAUGUGUUAUUUACAGAUAAAGAAUACAGAUUCAUUAAAUGCAGAACCUUCAAAUACAUGCUUGACAUAUUCUAAUGCAUUUUACUUAAUCAUCUACCGCCAAUAAGACCACUUCCAUGCUCUCAACUAUAUAAAGUUGUGCACAUUCCUUUGAAAUAAGCUAAGUCACAUGAUAUAAUAGUUGUUAUUUACUUAUAGACGAGUGAUCAAUUUUACUCCAGCAUUAACAUGCACUAACGUGAUGUACUUUAUUAUUAUAUUGGUACACAAAUAAGCAUGCACGCAUAUACACAUGACUCAAACUAGGGAAGUCUAUUUUUUCCAAGUUUCAAGUAUUAGUAAAGAUAGUUUCACAGCCAUACACAAUACACAGUUUUAAAUUCUGAUUUGUUAUUAAGUAGUAUAGUUAUGUAUUUGCUAGGUUUUUGUCCAUGUUUAGUAGCAGAGGAAAGCGCUGAGUUUUUAAUCAUUCUUGUGUCACUAUACAGAUUAUCUACUAUACUGGCGAUAUUACUUUCAAUUCAUCUCCUUUUUUUUGUGAAUCAUUCAAUUCAUCUCCUUUCAGUGGAAAACAAUCCUUCCCUACUGGAUUAUGUGUGUUCCAUUCAUCACUUUACAGAUCAGAUGUUAAUGGGCCUUUUAUUUUUCAAAAAGGGGUAAAUGGCUAAGUUCUGAUAAUUUCCUAGGAGUAAGGAGACAUGCAAAUGACGCAGAUUGUGUACUGCAAGGUUUGCUUCUUUUUUUGGUUAUACGUCUGCAGCAGUUAGAUAUUAGUUCUUGUGCACAUGAUGUUUGUCGAUUUAAGGAAUUCUACUUUAGAUUUAAAUCUAUAGCCCUGAAUCCUAUUCAAAUAGGACAUUAUGUGAGGAUCUGACAAUUAAAGGACAUGAAGUUUGGGUAUACAUUCAAAUCUUGAUUUCUCGUGCGCGUGUGUGUGGGUGGGGGUGGGGUCUUGUUACUAUAUGUCCUAUGAACAAGGCCUUUGUCGGUUCCAACCAGCUAAUAUAUCUUGGACACUAUGUAUGACCUCACUGUCCUCGGCUUUCUACAAUACUUCUCACGAUAGUCACCAGUCGCUCAGUGAGGAAUGAGGACCUUGAAAGAUGACAUGUGUUUAUGCUUUCAGCAUCCAAGGAGGCUGCUAAUGAACUGCCAAACAGAUGUUGAUGCAGUAAAAUCAUGAGCAAAGUCUCCACAUGUGGUGGCCAAGGAAAUACGAGCUUCCAUAACAAUCAGCUAGGGACAAUUACAUAGGACAAAUCAAGAUUGCACAAGGUGACGUAUGUGUUUAUGCUUUCACCAUCCAAGGAGACUGUUCAUUACUUAUCAUGCAUUGUCUAUAGAGUUACCUGCUUACCUUCGAGUAUGGUUAAGGUGCAGCUAAGCCUUCUAGCCAAUGCAUGAUAAUCUCAAGAUUAUGCCAGUAACCUGCGGUAGACAUAUGUACACUGGUACACUUUUUAUCAUAUUAUCCUCCAGAGUAAGGAGUCCUCC
This is a long non-coding RNA of Lolium rigidum, 2908 nucleotides long. RefSeq lists it as uncharacterized. The record is from RefSeq and is a predicted model, not a curated record. Lineage: Eukaryota; Viridiplantae; Streptophyta; Magnoliopsida; Poales; Poaceae. The transcript has 5 exons.